This 1733-nucleotide ribosomal RNA is filed under the name Salmonella enterica subsp. enterica serovar Suelldorf. Its description in RNAcentral is "partial 23S ribosomal RNA". It matches the Rfam family "Bacterial large subunit ribosomal RNA", at positions 1213 to 2925 of the family's 2925-position model. Lineage: Bacteria; Pseudomonadati; Pseudomonadota; Gammaproteobacteria; Enterobacterales; Enterobacteriaceae. The record is from RNAcentral.
ACUGUGUGUUGUUGGGUAGGGGAGCGUUCUGUAAGCCUGUGAAGGUGGCCUGUGAGGGUUGCUGGAGGUAUCAGAAGUGCGAAUGCUGACAUAAGUAACGAUAAAGCGGGUGAAAAGCCCGCUCGCCGGAAGACCAAGGGUUCCUGUCCAACGUUAAUCGGGGCAGGGUGAGUCGACCCCUAAGGCGAGGCCGAAAGGCGUAGUCGAUGGGAAACGGGUUAAUAUUCCCGUACUUGGUGUUACUGCGAAGGGGGGACGGAGAAGGCUAUGUUGGCCGGGCGACGGUUGUCCCGGUUUAAGCGUGUAGGCUGGUUUUCCAGGCAAAUCCGGAAAAUCAAGGCUGAGGCGUGAUGACGAGGCACUACGGUGCUGAAGCAACAAAUGCCCUGCUUCCAGGAAAAGCCUCUAAGCAUCAGGUAACAUCAAAUCGUACCCCAAACCGACACAGGUGGUCAGGUAGAGAAUACCAAGGCGCUUGAGAGAACUCGGGUGAAGGAACUAGGCAAAAUGGUGCCGUAACUUCGGGAGAAGGCACGCUGACACGUAGGUGAAGUGAUUUACUCAUGGAGCUGAAGUCAGUCGAAGAUACCAGCUGGCUGCAACUGUUUAUUAAAAACACAGCACUGUGCAAACACGAAAGUGGACGUAUACGGUGUGACGCCUGCCCGGUGCCGGAAGGUUAAUUGAUGGGGUCAGCGCAAGCGAAGCUCCUGAUCGAAGCCCCGGUAAACGGCGGCCGUAACUAUAACGGUCCUAAGGUAGCGAAAUUCCUUGUCGGGUAAGUUCCGACCUGCACGAAUGGCGUAAUGAUGGCCAGGCUGUCUCCACCCGAGACUCAGUGAAAUUGAACUCGCUGUGAAGAUGCAGUGUACCCGCGGCAAGACGGAAAGACCCCGUGAACCUUUACUAUAGCUUGACACUGAACAUUGAGCCUUGAUGUGUAGGAUAGGUGGGAGGCUUUGAAGUGUGGACGCCAGUCUGCAUGGAGCCGACCUUGAAAUACCACCCUUUAAUGUUUGAUGUUCUAACGUGGACCCGUAAUCCGGGUUGCGGACAGUGUCUGGUGGGUAGUUUGACUGGGGCGGUCUCCUCCUAAAGAGUAACGGAGGAGCACGAAGGUUGGCUAAUCCUGGUCGGACAUCAGGAGGUUAGUGCAAUGGCAUAAGCCAGCUUGACUGCGAGCGUGACGGCGCGAGCAGGUGCGAAAGCAGGUCAUAGUGAUCCGGUGGUUCUGAAUGGAAGGGCCAUCGCUCAACGGAUAAAAGGUACUCCGGGGAUAACAGGCUGAUACCGCCCAAGAGUUCAUAUCGACGGCGGUGUUUGGCACCUCGAUGUCGGCUCAUCACAUCCUGGGGCUGAAGUAGGUCCCAAGGGUAUGGCUGUUCGCCAUUUAAAGUGGUACGCGAGCUGGGUUUAGAACGUCGUGAGACAGUUCGGUCCCUAUCUGCCGUGGGCGCUGGAGAACUGAGGGGGGCUGCUCCUAGUACGAGAGGACCGGAGUGGACGCAUCACUGGUGUUCGGGUUGUCAUGCCAAUGGCACUGCCCGGUAGCUAAAUGCGGAAGAGAUAAGUGCUGAAAGCAUCUAAGCACGAAACUUGCCCCGAGAUGAGUUCUCCCUGAGACUUAGAGUCUCCUGAAGGAACGUUGAAGACGACGACGUUGAUAGGCCGGGUGUGUAAGCGCAGCGAUGCGUUGAGCUAACCGGUACUAAUGAACCGUGAGGCUUAACCUU